Molecule: long non-coding RNA, 389 nt
Organism: Mus musculus (house mouse)
Lineage: Eukaryota; Metazoa; Chordata; Mammalia; Rodentia; Muridae
Product: predicted gene 16230
Exons: 4
Source: RefSeq, a predicted model, not a curated record
UUUCUUUCCUUUCUUCCUCGGCCCUUUUAUGACAUGCUAGCCAGUGGCAACUCUUCACGAGUAAGGUUCUCCCGUGACCGUUUUUUAAGGGUACUACAUUCUCACUGCCUGCUGUAACUCCAGGGAUCCUGUCACCCUCUUCUGGUCUCCAAGGGUACUACAUUCUGCCUGCUGUAACUCCAGGGAUCCUGUCACCCUCUUCUGGUCUCCACAGGGUACUACAUUCUGCCUGCUGUAACUCCAGGGAUCCUGUCACCCUCUUCUGGUCUCCAAGGGAAUUCUGAAGGUUUGAAGCCACUAACUGUUUGAUGAAGUUAACUGAAAAAGGAUGGAAGCUGUCAACUGUUUGAUGAAGACAGGGUUUCUCUGUAUAGCCCUGGCUGUCCUGG